GACGAACGCUGGCGGCGUGCCUAACACAUGCAAGUCGAACGGAGUAAUUUCUUCGGAGAUUACUUAGUGGCGAACGGGUGAGUAACGCGUGAGAAACCUGCCUUUCAGUGGGGGACAACAGUUGGAAACGACUGCUAAUACCGCAUAAUGUUAUUUGGGGGCAUCCCCGAAUAACCAAAGCUUUAUGUGCUGAAAGAUGGUCUCGCGUCUGAUUAGAUAGUUGGUGAGGUAACGGCCCACCAAGUCGACGAUCGGUAGCCGGACUGAGAGGUUGAACGGCCACAUUGGGACUGAGACACGGCCCAGACUCCUACGGGAGGCAGCAGUGAGGGAUAUUGGGCAAUGGGGGAAACCCUGACCCAGCAACGCCGCGUGAAGGAAGAAGGCUUCGGUUGUAAACUUCUUUAGUCAGGGACGAAGGACGUGACGGUACCUGCAGAAAAGACAACGGCUAACUACGUG
Molecule: ribosomal RNA, 462 nt
Filed under: uncultured bacterium
Lineage: Bacteria
Description: bacterial SSU rRNA
Rfam family: Bacterial small subunit ribosomal RNA
Source: RNAcentral